CAAUUUUUAUACUCUCUCUAAGGAAGACAGGCUCUCUGAGCUGUGAAUUUCUCAACUACCUGAACUUCACCCCAACCUACCUGAAGAAUACGCAAUUUCCAUUAGUCACAGUGGCUCAUUACAUCAAUGAGCUGAGAAACCCUCUCUCUCCCACCUCUGCUGGCAUGAAACAAUAUCAGGCCUGAAGAAUCAAGCCUAGUUUGACUCUGGCUCAAAUUAUUAUUCUUUAAUGCACUCAAUGCUUCAACUCACAUCAGAUAUUCCAGGCACUUCUAAGCUUCCAAGUACUUAUUUAUGUACUCAUAAACCAGAAUACCUCCCCCUUCUCCCGUCCUUCCAAGCCUUUUCUAUUCCUAUUUACACUUUGAAGUCCUAUUCAAACAAGAACUCUGCCAUGAAGUCUUCUUGGAUUUUUUUCAAUAGCUUAUCUAUAACUCUAUUCUAGUGUAUUUAUCACUCCAUCUUAUUUUAUAAUCAGAGACAGUUGUUCAAGUAACUCUUGUAACUCUCUUUCCACUGAGUCUGAUCAU
Molecule: long non-coding RNA, 530 nt
Filed under: Homo sapiens (human)
Lineage: Eukaryota; Metazoa; Chordata; Mammalia; Primates; Hominidae
Description: HSALNT0105538
Source: RNAcentral